Molecule: small RNA, 95 nt
Filed under: Salmonella enterica subsp. enterica serovar Senftenberg
Lineage: Bacteria; Pseudomonadati; Pseudomonadota; Gammaproteobacteria; Enterobacterales; Enterobacteriaceae
Also listed under: 1 other name
Description: partial RtT sRNA
Rfam family: RtT RNA
About the family: This family represents a bacterial cis-regulatory element known as RtT RNA. The exact function of RtT is unknown although it is thought that it may be involved in changing the cellular response in relation to amino acid starvation.
Source: RNAcentral
GCCGCAGGUUCGGGUCGAACGCAGUGAGACAACGGAGCCGUUUACGGCGACGGCCCGAAGGGCGAGCGAAGCGAGUCAUCCUGCACGACCCACCA